GAGGUCACUGCUAUCCGAAUCCGACUAAGCCAUGCAAGUCCCGGUGUUCAUUUCUGGACGCCGUGGCGGAAAGCUCAGUAACACGUAGUUAACAUUCCCUCGAGUCUGGGAUAAUCUCGGGAAACUGAGGCUAAUACCAGAUAGACAAGGGGUACUGGAAUGUCCCCUUAUCAAAAGUCCGCGCUCGAGGAUUGGACUGCGGCGGAUUAGGUUGUUGCCAGGGUAACGUCCUGGCAAGCCGAUAAUCUGUGCGAGCCUUGAGAGAGGAAGCUCGGAGAUGGAUUCUGAGACAAGAAUCCAGGUCCUACGGGACGCAGCAGGCGCGAAACUUUCCCAAUGCACGAAAGUGUGAGGAAGGGAUUUGGAGUGCUCUCCCUACUUUAGGGGGAGCUUUUGUGGAGUGUUUAUAGCUCCAAGAAUAAGUGGUGGGUAAGACGGGUGCCAGCCGCCGCGGUAAUACCCGCGCCACGAGUGGUGACCACGAUUAUUGGGCUUAAAGCGUUCGUAGCCGGUUCAGAAAGUCUUUAGUGAAGUCCCAUAGCUAACUAUGGGGCCUGCUAGGGAAACUACUGGACUAGGGACCGGGAGAGGUCUGGAGUAUUCCAGGGGUAGGGGUAAAAUCCUGUAAUCCUUGGGAGACCACCUGUGGCGAAGGCGCCAGACCAGAACGGAUCCGACGGUGAGGGACGAAAGCUGGGGGAGCAAAGGGGAUUAGAUACCCCCGUAGUCCCAGCUGUAAACGAUGCCCACUAGACAUUGGCAAUCUCACGGGGGUUGCCAGUGCCGUAGCGAAAGCGUUAAGUGGGCCGCCUGGGGAGUACGGUCGCAAGGCUGAAACUUAAGGGAAUUGGCGGG
Molecule: ribosomal RNA, 855 nt
Filed under: uncultured archaeon
Lineage: Archaea
Description: bacterial SSU rRNA
Rfam family: Archaeal small subunit ribosomal RNA
Source: RNAcentral